UCCUAUAUCUGCCUAGUUCCCACAAU
RNAcentral lists this non-coding RNA (26 nucleotides) under Rattus norvegicus (Norway rat). The record is from RNAcentral. Lineage: Eukaryota; Metazoa; Chordata; Mammalia; Rodentia; Muridae.